RNAcentral lists this ribosomal RNA (206 nucleotides) under uncultured bacterium. RNAcentral describes it as "partial 16S ribosomal RNA". It matches the Rfam family "Bacterial small subunit ribosomal RNA", at positions 568 to 774 of the family's 1533-position model. The record is from RNAcentral.
CGUGUAGGCGGUUUGUACAGUCAGAUGUGAAAUCCCCGGGCUUAACCUGGGAGCUGCAUUUGAGACGUGCAGACUAGAGUGUGAGAGAGGGUUGUGGAAUUCCCAGUGUAGAGGUGAAAUUCGUAGAUAUUGGGAAGAACACCGGUGGCGAAGGCGGCAACCUGGCUCAUUACUGACGCUGAGGCGCGGAAGCGUGGGAGCAAACA